Molecule: ribosomal RNA, 266 nt
Filed under: Thaxterogaster iringa
Lineage: Eukaryota; Fungi; Basidiomycota; Agaricomycetes; Agaricales; Cortinariaceae
Description: partial large subunit ribosomal RNA
Rfam family: Eukaryotic large subunit ribosomal RNA
Source: RNAcentral
ACGCUUGAAGUCAGUCGUGUUGACCAGGGAUCAACCUUGCUUUUGCUUGGUGUACUUCCUGGUUGACAGGUCAGCAUCAAUUUUGAUCAUUGGAAAAAGGUCAAGGGAAUGUGGCAUCUUCGGAUGUGUUAAAGCCCUUGGUUGCAUACAAUGGUUGGGAUUGAGGAACUCAGCACGCCGCAAGGCCGGGUUUUAACCACGUACGUGCUUAGGAUGCUGGCAAAAUGGCUUUAAUCGACCCGUCUUGAAACACGGACCAAGGAGUC